GAUAGAUCUGGUUACCUGAGUAGAGUAGUGGCUACGGUUGCUACUAGCAACUGUGAUCUCUGUCUCAUGAAAGUUUAAUAACCUUGCUGACAUUACCUGUAGCUAAUUACCUCCCGUAAUGUAUGAAUGAGCAGGAUCAGAUGGUGACCGUAAGAAGGUCCUUGUCUUAGCAGGAUCGGACAGCCAGGGAGAAAAGAUCAACUGUGGAGCAGAGCUUGGUCCAGUUUCAAUUCAAGUAGCCAGAAAGUUAAACUCCCCGCAACAUUAAAUACAUCAUGUUUUGGAAAGAUGCAUUUCAUGUUUAAGAAAAAAUCUUAAAACGCUUUGAUGGUCAACAGGCUGAAUAUCUGAAGCAAUACUGACUAGAACAAUGUGAAGGAUUCACUUAAUAUUUAAAUAUGAACACAGAAGUAAACACCUCUGUGAUGGCUUUUGUACAAACAUGUUUCAAUGUGCGUUAUGUAUUUGCCAUGCGUAUUAUAAGCAUUUCAAUGCUGCCCUGUGAUUGGCUGCUGCAUUUCUGCUCCGUGAACCUGAUAAGGAUCUUGUGGGUUUUAAUCACUGGGUACACUGACCAGUCUAAUGUAACGCACCCCUCCCCCACUCAGGGGUAAACACCCUCCGAUAAAAACAUCUUCCUAAAACCAUGGAUGUACUGGUAUGAAGUAGUGAUGGGUCAUUCAUUCAGUUUAAAUGGCUUCUUUUUGGAGAGAUAUACUGUGUGAUACGUGUUAUGCUGUUUUAUGAAAUGGAAAAUGCUUAUUGUUUUAGUAUAAAUGUUAAUUGGAUAUAAUAUCUCUUAAUAUUAUGCCAUUAAUGUCUAAACCGCUGGCAAUAAAAGUGAGUACACCCCUAAGUGAAAAUGUC
Molecule: long non-coding RNA, 867 nt
Organism: Esox lucius (northern pike)
Lineage: Eukaryota; Metazoa; Chordata; Actinopteri; Esociformes; Esocidae
Source: Ensembl